This 485-nucleotide ribosomal RNA is filed under the name uncultured Corynebacterium sp. RNAcentral's name for it is "bacterial SSU rRNA". It matches the Rfam family "Bacterial small subunit ribosomal RNA", at positions 8 to 507 of the family's 1533-position model. The record is from RNAcentral. Lineage: Bacteria; Bacillati; Actinomycetota; Actinomycetes; Mycobacteriales; Corynebacteriaceae.
AGAGUUUGAUCCUGGCUCAGGACGAACGCUGGCGGCGUGCUUAACACAUGCAAGUCGAACGGAAAGGCCCUGCUUGCAGGGUACUCGAGUGGCGAACGGGUGAGUAACACGUGGGUGAUCUGCCCUGCACUUCGGGAUAAGCCUGGGAAACUGGGUCUAAUACCGGAUAGGAGCCAUUUUUAGUGUGAUGGUUGGAAAGUUUUUUCGGUGUAGGAUGAGCUCGCGGCCUAUCAGCUUGUUGGUGGGGUAAUGGCCUACCAAGGCGGCGACGGGUAGCCGGCCUGAGAGGGUGGACGGCCACAUUGGGACUGAGAUACGGCCCAGACUCCUACGGGAGGCAGCAGUGGGGAAUAUUGCACAAUGGGCGCAAGCCUGAUGCAGCGACGCCGCGUGGGGGAUGACGGCCUUCGGGUUGUAAACUCCUUUCGCUAGGGACGAAGCUUUUUGUGACGGUACCUAGAUAAGAAGCACCGGCUAACUACGUG